RNAcentral lists this ribosomal RNA (443 nucleotides) under uncultured bacterium. RNAcentral's name for it is "partial 16S ribosomal RNA". It matches the Rfam family "Bacterial small subunit ribosomal RNA", at positions 338 to 795 of the family's 1533-position model. The record is from RNAcentral.
CCUACGGGUGGCAGCAGUGGGGAAUCUUGGGCAAUGGACGCAAGUCUGACCCAGCAACGCCGCGUGAGGGAAGAAGGCUUUCGGGUUGUAAACUUCUUUUCUCAGGGACGAAGAAAGUGACGGUACCUGAGGAAUCAGCGACGGCUGACUACGUGACAGCAGCCGCGGUAAUACGUAGGUGGCAGGCGUUCUCAGGAUUUAUUGGGUGUAAAGGGCGUGUAGGCGGGUGCGCAAGUCAGAUGUGAAAACUCAGGGCUCAAACCUGAGCCUGCAUUUGAAACUGUGUUUCUUGAGUGCAGGAGAGGCAAGCGGAAUUCCGUGUGUAGCGGUGAAAUGCGUAGAUAUACGGAGGAACACCAGUGGCGAAGGCGGAUUGCUGGACAGUAACUGACGCUGAGGCGCGAAAGCGUGGGGAGCAAACAGGAUUAGAUACCCUUGUAGUC